CCUACGGGCGGCUGCAGUGGGGAAUAUUGGACAAUGGGGGGAACCCUGAUCCAGCCAUGCCGCGUGUGUGAAGAAGGCCCUCGGGUUGUAAAGCACUUUCAGUGAGGAAGAACGCCUGGUGGUUAAUACCCAUCAGGAAAGACAUCACUCACAGAAGAAGCACCGGCUAACUCCGUGCCAGCAGCCGCGGUAAUACGGAGGGUGCGAGCGUUAAUCGGAAUUACUGGGCGUAAAGCGCGCGUAGGUGGCUUGAUAAGCCGGUUGUGAAAGCCCCGGGCUCAACCUGGGAACGGCAUCCGGAACUGUCAAGCUAGAGUGCAGGAGAGGAAGGUGGAAUUCCCGGUGUAGCGGUGAAAUGCGUAGAGAUCGGGAGGAAUACCAGUGGCGAAGGCGGCCUUCUGGACUGACACUGACACUGAGGUGCGAAAGCGUGGGUAGCAAACAGGAUUAGAUACCCCAGUAGUC
Molecule: ribosomal RNA, 465 nt
Filed under: Vreelandella stevensii
Lineage: Bacteria; Pseudomonadati; Pseudomonadota; Gammaproteobacteria; Oceanospirillales; Halomonadaceae
Description: partial 16S ribosomal RNA
Rfam family: Bacterial small subunit ribosomal RNA
Source: RNAcentral